Molecule: ribosomal RNA, 302 nt
Filed under: uncultured bacterium
Lineage: Bacteria
Description: partial 16S ribosomal RNA
Rfam family: Bacterial small subunit ribosomal RNA
Source: RNAcentral
GCAGUAGCCGCGGGAAUACGUAGGUCCCGAGCGUUGUCCGGAUUUAUUGGGCGUAAAGCGAGCGCAGGCGGUUAGAUAAGUCUGAAGUUAAAGGCUGUGGCUUAACCAUAGUACGCUUUGGAAACCGUUUAACUUGAGUGCAAGAGGGGAGAGUGGAAUUCCAUGUGUAGCGGUGAGAUGCGUAGAUAUAUGGAGGGACACCGGUGGCGAAGGCGACUCUCUGGUCUGUAACUGACGCUGAGGAGCGAAAGCGUGGGGAGCGAACAGGAUUAGAUACCCCCGUAGUCCCUGUCUCUUAUACA